RNAcentral lists this microRNA precursor (82 nucleotides) under Chlorocebus sabaeus (green monkey). RNAcentral describes it as "miRNA (ENSCSAG00000027223.1)". Lineage: Eukaryota; Metazoa; Chordata; Mammalia; Primates; Cercopithecidae. The record is from RNAcentral.
AUUACAGGCAUGAGCCACUGUGCCUGGCCAACAUAUUGUUAAAGAAACAAAAUUGCUGGGUGCAGUGGCUCAUGCCUGUAAU